RNAcentral lists this long non-coding RNA (394 nucleotides) under Setaria viridis. RNAcentral's name for it is "long non-coding RNA (SVIR_LNC004640)". Lineage: Eukaryota; Viridiplantae; Streptophyta; Magnoliopsida; Poales; Poaceae. The record is from RNAcentral.
AACAAUAUGAAAGUUGGAAAUGAGCUGUUUUUAUGUUUGUGAUUGUGAUGGUGAUCACCAGCCAAAAUUGAAUACAUGGCACUGUGAAAUGCAAUAAUGGGCUAGGGCCUAGAAAAAAGAGCCCAAUAUAGUAUUGCGAAAUGCAAUAAUGGCUCUUCGUUAGAUGGGCUAGGAACUAGAAAAAAUGGGCCAAUAUGGCGUGCAAAAAACAUUUUUAGGCCCAAAAAAUAGUGUAAAAACCUAAAAUGGGCUAAAAAUGGACCAAAAAAAUUGGUCUCAUAAAGGCUCUUACAUGGACCGAGCUUCAAUUUAUGACGAACCGAAAUAGUCAUAACACCCCUGCCACGUCGAAGCCAUGUUGGAUUCUUGUCCAACGUGGCGCAACCUCCGAAAC